AUUUUUCUAAUAUAUAAAGUAUAAUUGACUUCCAAUCAAUAAGUCUGGCCUCUCCAGGAAAAAUA
RNAcentral lists this transfer RNA (65 nucleotides) under Caridina indistincta A. RNAcentral's name for it is "tRNA-Gly". Lineage: Eukaryota; Metazoa; Arthropoda; Malacostraca; Decapoda; Atyidae. The record is from RNAcentral.